This 400-nucleotide ribosomal RNA is filed under the name uncultured bacterium. Its description in RNAcentral is "bacterial SSU rRNA". It matches the Rfam family "Bacterial small subunit ribosomal RNA", at positions 356 to 773 of the family's 1533-position model. The record is from RNAcentral.
GGGGAAUAUUGCACAAUGGAGGAAACUCUGAUGCAGCAACGCCGCGUGAGUGAUGAAGGUCUUCGGAUUGUAAAGCUCUGUCUUCUGGGACGAUAAUGACGGUACCAGAGGAGGAAGCCACGGCUAACUACGUGCCAGCAGCCGCGGUAAUACGUAGGUGGCAAGCGUUGUCCGGAUUUACUGGGCGUAAAGGAUGUGUAGGCGGAUAUUUAAGUGAGAUGUGAAAUCCCCGGGCUUAACUUGGGGGCUGCAUUUCAAACUGGAUGUCUAGAGUGCAGGAGAGGAAAGCAGAAUUCCUAGUGUAGCGGUGAAAUGCGUAGAGAUUAGGAAGAAUACCAGUGGCGAAGGCGGCUUUCUGGACUGUAACUGACGCUGAGGCAUGAAAGCGUGGGGAGCAAAC